GGGAAUUGUAGGUGUGUGCUGGGUGUGUUUUAUGUUGUUACUGUGCCCGAUUGGUUAAUCUCUGUCCCUCCUUGUGGGGACUUGCAUAAAAGCCUGUGUGUGAUCAUUAAAGCUUGGUUCAGUUGUACCCUUCUUCUUGACUUUGGCUGAUGUUUGGGGAUUCGUGUGCUUUAUUAAGGGAAUUAUCUUAUGAAGCUAUUUGGAGUACUAUACAAAAGUUGUGCAGAGCAGCAACCAAAUCCACAGGAGGCUUUGUGCUGAGCAGCAAUCAUGCAAAUGGAAC
Non-coding RNA from Pelobates cultripes (western spadefoot toad), 283 nucleotides. The record is from the annotation of a GenBank genome assembly. Lineage: Eukaryota; Metazoa; Chordata; Amphibia; Anura; Pelobatidae.